UCGGACGGAGCGGAGGACGCCGGCUAUC
This 28-nucleotide small RNA is filed under the name Bombyx mori (domestic silkworm). RNAcentral describes it as "ovarian small RNA-28903". Lineage: Eukaryota; Metazoa; Arthropoda; Insecta; Lepidoptera; Bombycidae. The record is from RNAcentral.